RNAcentral lists this transfer-messenger RNA (354 nucleotides) under Lysobacteraceae. RNAcentral's name for it is "Pseudoxanthomonas_A mexicana_A Standard tmRNA". It matches the Rfam family "transfer-messenger RNA". Rfam says of the family: Bacterial tmRNA, also known as 10Sa RNA or SsrA, is named for its dual tRNA and mRNA-like properties. Its role is to liberate the mRNA from a stalled ribosome. RNAcentral also lists the same sequence under 1 other name. Lineage: Bacteria; Pseudomonadati; Pseudomonadota; Gammaproteobacteria; Lysobacterales. The record is from RNAcentral.
GGGGGCGACUGGAUUCGACGGGGGUUGCGAAAUCGCCUGGUGCAUGCCGAGGUCGUCACUCACCUCGUUAAUCAAGUGGCAAAACACUUAGACGCCAACGACGACGUCUACGCUCUCGCCGCUUAAGGCGUAAGCCCCGAACCCACUUGUGCCCGUGCUCGUGGAUGUAGGGUCAUUAUCACGGAACCGGCUGUGACGGCUGCCUGUCAGUCAUGGCUUAACCAAAACAGGCUGGUUCCCGGAUGCGCUUUGCGCGCCGUGCUGUCAGGGAACGAGACCUAACGGAGCGCUAAGCAUGUAGUACCGGGGAUGGCGUGCCUUCGGACGGGGGUUCAAUUCCCCCCACCUCCACCA